GUCGUCCAACAGAUUGACAUUCUGACGUCCAAUAUUGACCUUGGUGAAGACGAACCAAGUCUAUCCAAUGGACUCUCCCAAGAUGCAACCAAAAGCAGUCGAACUGGUGUUGUGGCAUUGAUCCACAAUUCAAACAGCGAAGAGGACAUGUCCACUUCCAAUUCCUCUCUCGCUCACAGCCCUGUCACUGUGGAUUUUGUUCACAUUAACAGUCCUUCACCGAUGACAAACUGCACAAAUCCAUCCCCUCCUGAGCAACGAUCUGUUACUGCUGAGGAUAAAGGCAAACGAGUUGUGAAACAGAGCUCAGAGACUCAAAGGACAGCCAAUGGAAACUACCUACCGCAUCGAACAGCAAGGAAAGGCCAACUGGAAAACCACAGACCCCCUGUAGCUCCAGCAGUGUGCACUAACUCAAAUAAAACCCAACGGCCUCCACCUUACCCUCAGAACGGACAGGUGAAGAUGAGGACGCCCCCCUAUCCUGGAAAACAUAAGACCCUCUCCUCCACCGUAGUGGACUGAUGCCACACAACCCAGCUGACUCACACCGGAGGACGGAGAAUCCCAGGCCGAGGGGCAGUGACUGUAUUUCCCAUGGAAAACGCCAGAAGCAUCUCAAAGCCCUCUUUCUCUCUCACACCCCUGCUGGAAAAAAAGCCUAGUUUGGACCAACCUAAAGUCACCAUGAGAUGGCAUUGACAGCUCAAUUUACUUAUAUAGCCUGAUGUAUUUCUGAUUGAAAGUGUGAGAAGAGAGGAAAGUGUGAGUCAUGUGGUUGGAGGGGCGGGGUCAAAAAGCAAGAGGGAUUUGUGAUGUCAGCUGAAUAGGAAAGUCGUUUCAGAGGCGGAGCAAGUUGUUUAAUUUUGUUGAAAGAUUAUGAAAACGGAG
Molecule: long non-coding RNA, 891 nt
Filed under: Sinocyclocheilus anshuiensis
Lineage: Eukaryota; Metazoa; Chordata; Actinopteri; Cypriniformes; Cyprinidae
Description: lncRNA (ENSSANG00000011273.1)
Source: RNAcentral